UAUUCCGGCUGCGACACGAGCGGCGGAGGCGCAGCCAUGGUGGGGAACCAGAUGCGCCACCCCACCCCCGGCCCGGAUCAUCUCGGCGUCGCCAUCAUCGCUUUUUCUUUGAAGGAGCUGGCGAGCUGCUUAUAUUGAGAGCAAUUGUCACAAGAUUCAGCGCUGGGACUCGUUGCUUGCCGUCGUCGCCUUCGGCGUCUACCUCGUCGGCGAGGCCGCGUACAACCGCCUCCACGGCUCCACCGCCCAGCGAGCUUCCUCCGUUGUUUUGCAGGUCUUGAUGCACACUGCAGCUGAACUCGAUACAUGAUAGUAUAUCUCUACACACCACACCUGAAAACAAAAGACCGAACAGUGCAAGACUUAUUCUUGAUCAGUUGUUGAUCGAGCGGUAGCUGCAACUACUGAAUUGAUCUGCCUGCACAAUAGAGCUAAUCCAGAUGAGCAAAUCAAGCAGCUGAUAAUGCACUGUUUAACCAACUUACUAAUUAGCCAAUUCACAAGAGGCAAGCUCUGAACAAAAAGCACAUAACUGUUGCAGCUGUGGCUAGAGUUAUUAGCUGAUACGGAAACAUAGAGCUGCUAGCUACUGGAACAAUACAACUACAACAUGAUGGCCUAACAAAGCAAUAGAUGAUUAAAUUAACAGUGCAAGGAAAAAAGCUACAGGCCACACAUGGGGUUAAACAAAAAAUCGGACAACUUCUAGGCAAGACCGCAAGACAACUCGAGUAACAGAUCACUGUGGCAAUGGAAUAAAUAAUAGCUCAUGCAGUUAAGUACCUCAAUAUGUCUGAACAAACCUGAUAAGCUGAGUUGAUUCAAAAGCUACUGUUGCUGGAUGACCUGCAAAAAUAAGUUAAGUAAUACCUGCACUUGUCCCUACUGAUUACCCGCAUGAGUUGCUAAUAAUCGAGUAAAAGAAAGCUGAUGCGCAUAGCAGUGAAAAUUUAGUUGCAUGGAUUGGGUUGCCUAAUGUUCCUUGUUUAUUUGCCUAAUGGAGAACAUUAAUUUGUCGAUAAUAAACCACGUUAUUGCCUAAAAUACGAACACAUAAAAACAAACUCAAUGAAAAAGAAGAUCACAUAAGCACCCCGCAUUGGAUGAUGGAGGGCGCCCUUGUUGCUGCUUCUAGCCCCUUGGCACUAUAACAAGUCAUCCAAAAAUGGACUGCACAGAGGUCAAUAGGGAUAACUGUUGUGUGUUAUGUGCUGAAAGUGCCCUUGCGCUAUAGGUUUGGAAGGCAAUAGUAACUACUGUGUGUCAACUACUGCAUAAACAGCAAAAAACUAUCAUCAUGCUACAACUAAAAAUCAGUAAAAUGGAUCAUGCUGUCAUUAGAAUACUGAAAUCAGUAAAAGCUGCUGUCAGUAAAAAUGGGAUCAUUGCUAUCAGUGCAUACAGGAAAAAACAGCAAAUACUACCAUCUUAUCUUAGCAAGAGAUAAUUGCACCAAAAAGAAUCAAUGUUACCCUAAAAAGAGACAUGUGAAUACUUUAAGGAACUAGAACAGGAAGAUUCUGAAUUUUUCCGCAAGAUUAAACUUGAUGCUGAACAGAAGGUUGAGGGCCUCUUUCCCUGGUAAAAUUGCCUAAUGAUACUUUAUAUUUUGCCUAAUGAAAUAUAGAAAUUUGCCAAUAUAAAACCAUGUUAUUGCCUAGGGAGAUUUUAGUACUGAGUGGGAACCAAGAGUGCUUAAAAAAGCAUGAAUGCUGCAUUUAUAUAACUAUUUUAUUUACAAACAGAUUCAUACAACUAAAAAAGUGAUGAAAAAAGAACACAUAUAAGGUGUACUUAACGAGAGACUGACUGGUGCUUAAAGAUGAGGUGUUCGUUAUGGUACAGAUUUGUAGAAGAAAAAACUACUGCAUGGAGAAUGUACCACCUCCCCCAUCACAACCAGAAAAAAAAUCCUACUACCCACUAAUUCCGAACUAGCAUAGAGCUCAGCCAUUUCUAUUUGAGCUAUGUGUAAAAACUACUAACAGUAAACUAUCAUCAGUAAACUGGUAGCAUAGAGCUAGAAUCAGUCAUCAGUUAUAACCCUUCUAAGGCUAGAUUCUACCAAUCAGUAAACUGCAAACAUUCAUAAAAAGCAGGAGCAUCACUCAAAGACAAGCUAACGGAAAGAAAACACAGUGAACAACUAGUUUUUCCGUCCAGUUUAUCAUACCGGGAGUGGAUCGGAGGUAGGCUUCAAUGGGCCGGAUGGUAUUAUCACUGCAUUUCAGCUCUGGGGUCCGGUGAACCAAGUUGUUGACGAUGUUGGCGGCCGCUUGCCAAACAAGUUCCCAACUCAGGGAGACCCUAUUGCAAGUGGUAUUUGUUUAGAUUCAGGUCAAGGGGGUCACAUAAUACAUUGAUCCGAGGAACAAGAAUAUGAAAUGCAAACUGAAAAAUGCAAACCUGUGACAGGCGAAGAAAACAAAUGAGAUACUGUGUAUGCAUCUGAGUUGUUACUUCGUGUGGAGCGUGGUGAGCAUGAUGUAGUGGAUCCUGAGGAAGCCAUGGCUGACGGUCGCAGAAGUAGGCUGCGAGCGUGUCGCCUUGCUCAGUGCCAGCGAGGAUGCCGGCCAGGUCCAUGUGGACGACGUGGGAAGCGGUGCAGGAACUUGGCCUCAACGCUCAUCAGGCGCCCGUCGUUGUCGGGCGGCAGGAAGCGCGGCAGGUAGCCGAUGGCGUCGUGCUAUUGGCCUCGGGCGACUAGGUCCCUCAGGCGCACCACGGAGGUGGCGGUGCCCAUCUCGCCGGCCAUCCUACAAGUGCUGGAUCGGCGAUCGACAACGAACCUGUUAGCAGAUUGCAAUGAUGUAAUGGCAACUGCACAUCCACCAAUCCAAAACUAACUAAUGACAUGUAAGGAGUGCCCUUCGGAGUACUAAAGGACCCCUCGUUGGAAGAUGAAAGUUUGAACUAGCACUGUUAGACAGAUUCAACAAACAGUGCAUCAUGAAAAUUGGCAACCAAGCUUCGACAAGCUUACCAAAUCUACCGCAGGUUCUGGAGACUAAACCCCCAAAUCCAGCAGGCAAUGUAACCAUGGAAGGGUGGCAACUGUCAAUGGAGGAAAAUGAAGAAGUAACAAGCAGCAAAUCGGAACCAACCCACCUCGGGAGAUCGCAGCGCGCCGGAUGCCAGCACCACUUGGUGUAAGACGCGUUGGGGCAGCCAUUCUCGGAGCAGCAGGAGCCGACGUCGAGGAAGGGGCAGUCCCUGGAGUCGUAGAGCGGGUCUCCGCCAUCAGGCCGCACCCACUCCCCGUCGAACAGGUCGCACUCGUCCUCAUUGCCCGCCGCCGCUAACUUCCUUCUCGUUCGAGCCGCCUCGGCCGCGAUGGAGACCACGCCGGCCCAGAGCCUCCAGGGCGCAGCCGCCAACGCGUCGGCCGAGCAGCGGAGUGAGACGGUGCAGAGCAACGGCCGCCACGGCGAGCCUCGCCAGGCCGGCCCUCUCGAGCGGGCCCUUGGCCGCCCACCGCGCCAGCACACGGGAUCCCACGGCGGGGAGGGGGACGCACGCACCUGGUGCUUCGGGUCCUGGUCUUGCCCUCUUCGCCCGUCCCCAUCGCACCGCGCAGGCACCACCUCCACCACCUAUUCAAGGUCGCCACACCUUGUCCUGAUCCGCGCUUCCACAUCUCGCCCCCUGAUAGCCACCAGCCGACGGGGAAGCCCCCUAGAGCCGGGAUGCGCAGAUCCGCACCCAGGGACGAUGGAUCCGGCCCCCCGCGACCACGGCCGAUGGUGGGAUGGCCGCAGCCCGGCAAGCCAACGCAUCCCAACAGGAAGCACGCGCGGCUAGGGGGUGGGGGUGGGGCGGCGAAGCCGACCACGACUCGGGAGCGUGCGGAUUAGGCGGGGGAGGAGCGUCCGGUGACCUGACGAAGACCGUCACCACGACCGGCGACGAGCUAGAAUCCAUGGCGACCUAGGGUUUGUGGGGUAGAGUGGGAGGUAGAGAGGUAGGGGAGAGAUGGGGAGAGAUGUGAAGAGAGAGGGGAGGAGGGGGUGGCUGGCCAGCGGCGGCGGCCCGCUGCGGCGGCGGCGGUCCGCGGCGGCCGGAGCUGGACGAGAAAUGGGGGCGGCAGGAGGAUGGAGGGGCGAGUGGAAAAUUUAGAGAGAGGGGUGUCGAAAUCAACCGACAGAAGGGUGGAGAGGAGCAGCAGAAAUGAAUCGGCACGAUGCCGGAGGUGCGCCCUCUAAUUAAUGAUGGUCGACGGAAAUGAAUCGGCACGAUGCCGGAGGUGCGCCCUCUAAUUAAUGAUGGUCGACGGAUCGAGCUGGUCGUUUCGUUGAACAAACUUACGGCCGACUGGAAAGAAGUUAUUACCCAUGUUUAAAAUAUCUUAGAUGAUGAAGUGAGUCAUACAUAAGAUAUAUGAAACUUACAAAAAUAAGAUGAACGGUCAAAUUCAUGAUAAAAAAAAUCAACAGUGACAAAUGUUUAGAUACGGAGGGAGUGCUAUUUAGUGCCAGCCCUUUUGCAUCAGAGUGGUCCAGAAUUGUGGAGACUAUUACAAAGUCAACGGUAUGAUAGCGAAUGUUGUAAUUUAGCUCAAGAGAUUUCAUCCAUGCCUAAAUAAUCAAUUUAGUACAAUAUGUAGCUUAAAUGGUGGAAGACCUGACAGUGUCGCAAGCUGAGAAUCCUGUGCGUCAAACGGAACAGACCCGACGCAGUGUGCGGGACUCUAGUGUAAUAUUCUCAAAUAUGAAAUGGAAUUUCAUCUACUCU
Molecule: RNA transcript, 4731 nt
Organism: Panicum virgatum (switchgrass)
Lineage: Eukaryota; Viridiplantae; Streptophyta; Magnoliopsida; Poales; Poaceae
Gene name: 23.2 kDa heat shock protein-like
Exons: 3
Source: RefSeq, a predicted model, not a curated record